This 378-nucleotide ribosomal RNA is filed under the name uncultured bacterium. Its description in RNAcentral is "partial 16S ribosomal RNA". It matches the Rfam family "Bacterial small subunit ribosomal RNA", at positions 338 to 733 of the family's 1533-position model. The record is from RNAcentral.
CCUAGGGGAGGCAGCAGUAGGGAAUAUUGCUCAAUGGGGGAAACCCUGAAGCAGCAACGCCGCGUGGAGGAUGAAGGUUUUCGGAUUGUAAACUCCUUUUGUUAGAGAAGACCAUUACGGUAUCUAACGAAUUUUCCCUGGCUAACUCCGUGCCAGCAGCCGCGGUAACACGGAGGCGGCAAGCGUUACCCGGAAUCACGGGGCGUAAAGGGCGCGUAGUCGGGUUAGCAAGUCAGAUGGGAAAACCUUUGGUUUAAACGUAGAAGUGCAUUUGAAACUGUUAGUCUAGAGUAUGGGAGAGGUAGGUGGAAUUCUAGGUGUAGAGGUGAAAUCCGUAGAGAUCAGGAAGAAUACUCAUUGCGAAGGCAGCCUGCUAGA